UACGUAGGCAGCGAGCGUUGUUCGGAGUUACUGGGCGUAAAGGGUGCGUAGGCGGUUGUUUAAGUUUGGUGUGAAAUCUCCCGGCUCAACUGGGAGGGUGCGCCGAAUACUGAAUGACUAGAGUGCGGGAGAGGAGAGUGGAAUUCCUGGUGUAGCGGUGAAAUGCGUAGAUAUCAGGAGGAACACCGGUGGUGUAGACGGCUCUCUGGACCGUAACUGACGCUGAGGCACGAAAGCGUGGGUAGCAAACAGG
RNAcentral lists this ribosomal RNA (253 nucleotides) under uncultured bacterium. Its description in RNAcentral is "partial 16S ribosomal RNA". It matches the Rfam family "Bacterial small subunit ribosomal RNA", at positions 524 to 776 of the family's 1533-position model. The record is from RNAcentral.